RNAcentral lists this ribosomal RNA (301 nucleotides) under uncultured bacterium. RNAcentral's name for it is "partial 16S ribosomal RNA". It matches the Rfam family "Bacterial small subunit ribosomal RNA", at positions 509 to 807 of the family's 1533-position model. The record is from RNAcentral.
CAGCAGCCGCGGUAAUACGGAGGGUGCAAGCGUUAAUCGGAAUUACUGGGCGUAAAGGGCGCGUAGGCGGUUAGGAAGGUGUGAUGUGAAAGCCCCGGGCUCAACCUGGGAAUGGCAAUGGAUACUGGCGAGCUAGAGUGUGUCAGAGGAUGGUGGAAUUCCCGGUGUAGCGGUGAAAUGCGUAGAGAUCGGGAGGAACAUCAGUGGCGAAGGCGGCCAUCUGGGACAACACUGACGCUGAGGCACGAAAGCGUGGGGAGCAAACAGGAUUAGAUACCCCGGUAGUCCCUGUCUCUUAUAC